UACGGAGGGUGCAAGCGUUGUCCGGAUUCAUUGGGUUUAAAGGGUGCGCAGGCGGGACAUUAAGUCAGGGGUGAAAGACGGUUGCUCAACAAUCGCAGUGCCUUUGAUACUGGUGUUCUUGGGUGACCUUGAGGUAGGCGGAAUGGGUGGUGUAGCGGUGAAAUGCAUAGAUACCACCCAGAACUCCGAUUGCGAAGGCAGCCUACUGGAGGUUUACCGACGCGUCGAGGCACGAAAGCGUGGGAUCAAACAGG
This 254-nucleotide ribosomal RNA is filed under the name uncultured bacterium. RNAcentral's name for it is "partial 16S ribosomal RNA". It matches the Rfam family "Bacterial small subunit ribosomal RNA", at positions 524 to 776 of the family's 1533-position model. The record is from RNAcentral.